AUUGAACGCUGGCGGCAGGCCUAACACAUGCAAGUCGAGCGGAUGAAGGGAGCUUGCUCCUGGAUUCAGCGGCGGACGGGUGAGUAAUGCCUAGGAAUCUGCCUGGUAGUGGGGGAUAACGUCCGGAAACGGGCGCUAAUACCGCAUACGUCCUGAGGGAGAAAGUGGGGGAUCUUCGGACCUCACGCUAUCAGAUGAGCCUAGGUCGGAUUAGCUAGUUGGUGGGGUAAAGGCCUACCAAGGCGACGAUCCGUAACUGGUCUGAGAGGAUGGUCAGUCACACUGGAACUGAGACACGGUCCAGACUCCUACGGGAGGCAGCAGUGGGGAAUAUUGGACAAUGGGCGAAAGCCUAAUCCAGCCAUGCCGCGUGUGUGAAGAAGGUCUUCGGAUUGUAAAGCACUUUAAGUUGGGAGGAAGGGCAGUAAGUUAAUACCUUGCUGUUUUGACGUUACCAACAGAAUAAGCACCGGCUAACUUCGUG
Molecule: ribosomal RNA, 484 nt
Filed under: uncultured bacterium
Lineage: Bacteria
Description: partial 16S ribosomal RNA
Rfam family: Bacterial small subunit ribosomal RNA
Source: RNAcentral